This 484-nucleotide non-coding RNA is filed under the name Pongo abelii (Sumatran orangutan). The record is from RNAcentral. Lineage: Eukaryota; Metazoa; Chordata; Mammalia; Primates; Hominidae.
CGCUGGGCGGGCGGGCAGCCCAUCUGGCGGCCCCCGCGGGGCGGCGCGGGGAGGCGGCCCAGACUUGCUGGAGCCAGGCGCCGGCCCGGGGGCCCCCCUGCCCGCCUGGAGAACCCAGUCUUGCCCGUGUUUUGGGGUGACUCAGCUUCCCUGCUUGUGCAAGAACAGCUGAACUCUGACCUCCUGGAUGGCCGACUCUUGCCUUGCUCUUCAGGGAUCCCAGACACGAUCGUAGGAACCGGAGAUUUUAUGGAAAGAAGUUGAUAUUUGGAGAAUGAAAAAAGAAAAGAUGCACCUAAGCAAAGGCACAUCAGGCCGCUGUGCAAAAGAACAAGCAUGCUCUAGAAGUGUAUGUGCUGCUGUGGAAACACCUCUAAGAAAUACCGUAGAAACCCAAGGUGCAGAAUGCUCCAAGAAUGCCACCAUCUGUGCAAGAAAAAGUAUACACACGUCAGUGCACAGGUGUCUGAAUGUCUGUGUAAUA